Molecule: ribosomal RNA, 245 nt
Filed under: uncultured bacterium
Lineage: Bacteria
Description: partial 16S ribosomal RNA
Rfam family: Bacterial small subunit ribosomal RNA
Source: RNAcentral
ACACGUGGGUAACCUGCCUUAUAGUGGGGGGAUAGCCUUUCGAAAGGAAGAUUAAUACCGCAUAAGAUUGUAGUAUCGCAUGAUAUAGCAAUUAAAGGAGCAAUUCGCUAUAAGAUGGACCCGCGUCGCAUUAGCUAGUUGGUGAGGUAAUGGCUCACCAAGGCGACGAUGCGUAGCCGACCUGAGAGGGUGAUCGGCCACAUUGGGACUGAGACACGGCCCAGACUCCUACGGGAGGCAGCAUG